Bursaphelenchus xylophilus (pine wood nematode) is the source of this 72-nucleotide non-coding RNA. Lineage: Eukaryota; Metazoa; Nematoda; Chromadorea; Rhabditida; Aphelenchoididae. The record is from Rfam.
GGUUCCAUGGUGUAGCGGUUAGCACUCAGGACUUUGAAUCCUGCGACCCGAGUUCGAAUCUCGGUGGGACCU